CCCGGCAACGAGCGCAACCCCUGCAUUCAGUUGCCAUCGGGUAAUGCCGGGCACUCUGGAAGGACUGCCAUCGACAAGAUGGAGGAAGGUGGGGAUGACGUCAAGUCAUCAUGGCCCUUAUGUCCAGGGCGACACACGUGCUACAAUGGCCGGCACAACGGGAAGCGAGUUCGCGAGGACGAGCGGAUCCCUCAAAGCCGGUCGCAGUUCGGAUUGAAGUCUGCAACUCGACUUCAUGAAGCUGGAAUCGCUAGUAAUCGUGGAUUAGCCAAGCCGCGGUGAAUACGUUCCCGGGCCUU
This 299-nucleotide ribosomal RNA is filed under the name uncultured Synergistaceae bacterium. RNAcentral describes it as "partial 16S ribosomal RNA". It matches the Rfam family "Bacterial small subunit ribosomal RNA", at positions 1085 to 1382 of the family's 1533-position model. The record is from RNAcentral. Lineage: Bacteria; Thermotogati; Synergistota; Synergistia; Synergistales; Synergistaceae.